Molecule: long non-coding RNA, 552 nt
Organism: Mercenaria mercenaria
Lineage: Eukaryota; Metazoa; Mollusca; Bivalvia; Venerida; Veneridae
Exons: 3
Source: RefSeq, a predicted model, not a curated record
UUAGAUUUGUUAUAAUUGUACAUUUACUACUUAUUCCUAGACUGAACAGGAAGCUGGUGGUUUUACCCAGGCGGUCACCCAUGCUUGAAAAAUUAUCUGAUGGGCCCCUGGGUUCAUCUUUCAUCAUGACAAGCUGGAUAGUCACCAUGUGACGUAUAAUUGGCGUCAGUGUGAUGUAAUAGACUGAAGAUUAGAAUUAUCGUUUUAUGCUUUACGAUUUCAGCGGGUGCGACUGACCACUAUUUCUGGAUUGGAGGAACUGACACUGUAACUGAGGGUGAAUGGUUUUGGCUCCCUGCUGUUAAGCCUGUCAAGUACACUCAUUGGAGUCCUGCAAACCCAGAUAAUGACAACCACCAAGACUGCAUAGCGCUGUAUAGUGACGGUCAAUGGGAUGAUGGUUGGUGCGACACUAAACAUAACUUCAUCUGCGAAAUAGAGUUGAAAACAGACACUGACCAGAUCGUUGGAUAAGCAAGAAGUAUUUACAUUUGACUUGCUUUUCAUUUUUGUGGAAAUGGUGAUUUUCUUUUAAAUAAAUGUAUACCGAUA